UUGCGCAAUAAAACCAGAUAAAAAGGAAACCUGCAAAGUGACAGCGCACAUUUGAGGUAUCAACACUUGAGCAGGACGAUUUACCAGACUGGUGUCAGGAGACGUGACUCUGUGAAAACAUGAAGCUUGUGAUUCUCUCCCUCUUGGUGGUGCUGGUUGUCAGCCAGAGUGAGGCCUUGAAGUGUAACUGUGGAGGCAUUCGCAACUGUCCAGGAGGCCGUGUGGAGACCUGCUACGGUUCAGACAGUGUCUGUAUCAGUGCUUUCUUGAACAAUCCUGCAGGUGCUCCAAGGCACUUCAAGGGUUGUUACCCACAACAUGGCUGUGAGAGUAUAAAUCGUCUUGGUAUUGGAUCUGCCUCUUGCUGCAGGACUGAUCUGUGCAACUGAUAAAUGAAUGUCAUCACUGUGGCUGUAAAAACAUCCUCUGAUGUUAUUGUUAAGUUGUCAUGUAUUGUGCAUUCUGGUGUUCUCAUAAUAAAGUUAAAGGAUGUUAUGAA
Long non-coding RNA from Lates calcarifer (barramundi perch), 499 nucleotides. RefSeq lists it as uncharacterized. The record is from RefSeq and is a predicted model, not a curated record. Lineage: Eukaryota; Metazoa; Chordata; Actinopteri; Centropomidae. The transcript is spliced from 4 exons.